AGCGAACGCUGGCGGCAGGCCUAACACAUGCAAGUCGAACGAACUCUUCGGAGUUAGUGGCGGACGGGUGAGUAACACGUGGGAACGUGCCUUUAGGCUCGGAAUAACUCAGGGAAACUUGUGCUAAUACCGAAUGUGCCCUUCGGGGGAAAGAUUUAUCGCCUUUAGAGCGGCCCGCGUCUGAUUAGCUAGUUGGUGAGGUAAAGGCUCACCAAGGCGACGAUCAGUAGCUGGUCUGAGAGGAUGAUCAGCCACAUUGGGACUGAGACACGGCCCAAACUCCUACGGGAGGCAGCAGUGGGGAAUCUUGCGCAAUGGGCGAAAGCCUGACGCAGCCAUGCCGCGUGAAUGAUGAAGGUCUUAGGAUUGUAAAAUUCUUUCACCGGGGACGAUAAUGACGGUACCCGGAGAAGAAGCCCCGGCUAACUUCGUG
RNAcentral lists this ribosomal RNA (433 nucleotides) under uncultured bacterium. RNAcentral's name for it is "partial 16S ribosomal RNA". It matches the Rfam family "Bacterial small subunit ribosomal RNA", at positions 29 to 507 of the family's 1533-position model. The record is from RNAcentral.